Molecule: long non-coding RNA, 467 nt
Organism: Erinaceus europaeus (western European hedgehog)
Lineage: Eukaryota; Metazoa; Chordata; Mammalia; Eulipotyphla; Erinaceidae
Exons: 3
Source: RefSeq, a predicted model, not a curated record
GUCAAGUUGCUAGUAACAACUUCGAAGAGGUGCCUGGGUGUCCUAGUGGCUUCUCAGCACUUGUUCUAUUCCACAUGUUUACUUGCGAUAUUGAUAACUUCCUUGUGUGCCAUAACUCUCUGUGAGCAGAGAAACAAUUUGACUCAUUGAUAUCUCCCCAAACCUACAAAAAUCAUCUGUUACAUACAGAAUAGUUCCUAGAUGUGUGACAUAACCUCUCUGGACCUCCAUUUGCAUAUGAAUAAUGAAGAUAUGACUACAAAAUGUGUGGGUCAAUACAAGAUUGAAAUCAUGUACCUUUUUUUUGUAAAUUGGAAGGCAUUCAAUAAAUACAGUUGUGAUUAAUUGCAUGCUGCUGUGUAACGCAUUUACUUCAAAUCAUAGUGGUUUAAAACAACACUUUUUUCUCAUAUUUCUUAUAGGUCCAGAGUUUGGGAGCAGUUUACCUAGAUGGUUCUGACUCGGGA